UCCUGUUUACAAAGAAGUGAUCAAAACCAGUUACAGGUUUCUUUGUUCCUUCUCCACUUCCACUGUUUCACUUGACUAGCCUUAU
Cercocebus atys (sooty mangabey) is the source of this 85-nucleotide unclassified non-coding RNA. It matches the Rfam family "Y RNA". From Rfam's summary of the family: Y RNAs are components of the Ro ribonucleoprotein particle (Ro RNP), in association with Ro60 and La proteins. The Y RNAs and Ro60 and La proteins are well conserved, but the function of the Ro RNP is not known. The record is from Ensembl. NCBI's taxonomy places the organism in Eukaryota, Metazoa, Chordata, Mammalia, Primates, Cercopithecidae.